CGGGUUAGGAUUAAAAUAAGUGGACCUACAUGGACCAUAAGUAGUGAGAGUUGACGGAGGGUCAACUACGAUAAUUGGUGAUCAAGCGAGGGAAAUGGCUCCUGAGAGCCCACGUAUCCUACCUUGUGCUGUUAUACGCUUUCCUAACUGUUUAAAUUUGUGCAGUUAUUAAUCGCUGUUUGAAAUUAUGUGAUUGCAUGUUUUGGGGCACCACUGAGCUUUAGCUCACCCCACGUUUAUUGUUUUCCUUAACAGGUUCUGGAAACUGAAAGCUGGAUGCUUAAUUUAUGUUUUUCUUUUGGACUGUAUUUGAAUACUAUAACUUAUUCUGUGGGCUGUAACGUGUUAUAGGGAUA
Molecule: long non-coding RNA, 356 nt
Filed under: Coffea arabica (coffee)
Lineage: Eukaryota; Viridiplantae; Streptophyta; Magnoliopsida; Gentianales; Rubiaceae
Description: long non-coding RNA (CARA_LNC001289)
Source: RNAcentral